GUAAUUGUCUAACAAGGAUAAGUUGACCGCACUGCAUGAAGCUGCACAGAAUGGAAAUACAGAAGUUGUCGAUUUUCUAAUUGAAAACAAUAUUGAUGUCAAUAUACAGUCCAUGAAUCGUCAAACUGCACUUCACAUGACUACUGGUAGACGGAGCGGAACAGUUGAUAUCGUAAAGUCGCUAAUUAACGGUGGUGUUGAUCUUAACUUACAGGACAAGAUAACCAUUCAAGUAGGUGGCUUACAGUGAAGUUCUUUAUUCAUUGAGUCAGAAGAUUUACAAAGAAGUAAACUAUUCUUUGGAUCGUCAGUAGGAGAUUAACAAGAAAGUGUCGUAUUAAUUUCUUGAGACUCUUCAGGCUUAAACAAAAAAAAUAUCAGUUUGUGGGUCUGAUUUAUUACUAUUCUAAUAUUGCUUUAUCUGUUUUUUUUUGUUUUUUUGUUUUUUUAUUGCGGGCUUGUUUAUCGAUUUUUUCUUGUAGGGCCCGCAAUUCUGUAUACUCUAUGUCAUGUAUAUGUAUACAUUAUUUGUUAAAUGAACUUGUACAAUAAUUUUUGGCCAAAAUAAAAGUAUCAUUUAUCUUGUUUUCUAUUCUGAGCCAGAGAUAAUUGUACGUUUGUAAUUCGAAAAACGCAUAAUUAUAUGCGAAGUUCGUUUUUUUCAACAUUUCGAAAUUCUGUUCUAUCAAUAGUGCCUGUUUAGUGAGUACUUUUACGGUACUUUGUAUUCAUUAUUAGAUAUAUCUUUAAUUAUCGUACUAGUGAGUUAUUUUUAUUUUUAUUUUGUUUACAUAUUUAACUUAUGCGGGCUAUUUUUGUCGGGCCCGCAACUUUGUAUACUCUAUGUCAUGUAUAUGUAUAAAUUAUUUGUUAAAUGAACUUCAACAAUAAA
Molecule: long non-coding RNA, 892 nt
Organism: Mytilus californianus (California mussel)
Lineage: Eukaryota; Metazoa; Mollusca; Bivalvia; Mytilida; Mytilidae
Exons: 3
Source: RefSeq, a predicted model, not a curated record